AGAGAGAGACAUGCGCGCAUAUCAAUAAGCGGAGGAAAAGAAAUUAACUAGGAUUCCCUCAGUAACGGCGAGUGAAGCGGGAAGAGCUCAAAUUUGAAAUCUUCAAGGUUUUACCUUGACGAAUUGUAGUUUAAAGAAGUGUUUUCUGUUGGAGUUUUGGUAAAAGUUCUUUGGAAUAGGACAUCAUAGAGGGUGAGAAUCCCGUAUUUGACCAUUAUUUCCAACUUUGUGAUACACUUUCAAAGAGUCGGAUUGUUUGGGAAUGCAGUCCGAAAUGGGUGGUAAAUUUCAUCUAAAGCUAAAUACUGGCGAGAGACCGAUAGCGAACAAGUACCGUGAGGGAAAGAUGAAAAGAACUUUGAAAAGAGAGUUAAACAGUACGUGAAAUUGUCAAAAGGGAAGCGUUUGACACCAGUGUUGUUUUCUCGAAAAUCAAUUAAAAAGGAUUGGAUUUUGUGUUGUAUUGACUUUAUCAGCUUUCUGCACUCUUUUCUUGUCUUUUUUAAUGCACUUUUCGUUUAACAAGUCAACAUCAAUUUCUUUUGUUGUAAAAGGGUCAUUGGAAGGUGGCUUUCUUUUCGGAGAAAGUGUUUAUAGCCUUUGGCCUCUGCAAUCGGAGAGAUUGAGGUCUGCAGCGUAGAUCCUUCGGGGUUAGAUAGCAUUUGUGCUAAGUUAUAGCCUUUCAUAGACAACUUGUUGACUAUGAUCAGUCAUGUAGCUUACUCGCUUAUGCUAUUUUACCUACGCUUAGGAUGUUGACAGCAGUAUAGACUGU
RNAcentral lists this ribosomal RNA (775 nucleotides) under uncultured Neocallimastigales. RNAcentral describes it as "partial large subunit ribosomal RNA". It matches the Rfam family "Eukaryotic large subunit ribosomal RNA", at positions 23 to 634 of the family's 3401-position model. The record is from RNAcentral. Lineage: Eukaryota; Fungi; Neocallimastigomycota; Neocallimastigomycetes; Neocallimastigales.